AUGAACGCUGGCGGCGUGCCUAAUACUUGCAAGUCGAGCGAACAGAUGAGGAGCUUGCUCCUCUGACGUUAGCGGCGGACGGGUGAGUAACACGUGGAUAACCUACCUAUAAGACUGGGAUAACUUCGGGAAACCGGAGCUAAUACCGGAUAAUAUAUUGAACCGCAUGGUUCAAUAGUGAAAGACGGUUUUGCUGUCACUUAUAGAUGGAUCCGCGCCGCAUUAGCUAGUUGGUAAGGUAACGGCUUACCAAGGCAACGAUGCGUAGCCGACCUGAGAGGGUGAUCGGCCACACUGGAACUGAGACACGGUCCAGACUCCUACGGGAGGCAGCAGUAGGGAAUCUUCCGCAAUGGGCGAAAGCCUGACGGAGCAACGCCGCGUGAGUGAUGAAGGUCUUCGGAUCGUAAAACUCUGUUAUUAGGGAAGAACAAAUGUGUAAGUAACUAUGCACGUCUUGACGGUACCUAAUCAGAAAGCCACGGCUAACUACGUG
This 496-nucleotide ribosomal RNA is filed under the name uncultured bacterium. Its description in RNAcentral is "partial 16S ribosomal RNA". It matches the Rfam family "Bacterial small subunit ribosomal RNA", at positions 29 to 507 of the family's 1533-position model. The record is from RNAcentral.